Molecule: ribosomal RNA, 254 nt
Filed under: uncultured prokaryote
Description: partial 16S ribosomal RNA
Rfam family: Bacterial small subunit ribosomal RNA
Source: RNAcentral
ACGGAGGAUCCGAGUGUUAUCCGGAGUGACUGGGCGUAAAGAGUUGCGUAGGUGGUAAUUUAAGCAAAUAGUGAAAUCACGUGGCUCAACCAUGAGGCUAUUAUUUGAACUGAAUUACUUGAGAGCAGAAGAGGUAGAUGGAAUUUCCAGUGUAGGAGUGAAAUCCGUAGAUAUUGGGAGGAACACCGAUGGCGAAAGCAGUCUACUGGUCUGUUUCUGACACUGAGGCACGAAAGCGUGGGGAGCGAACGGGA